Molecule: ribosomal RNA, 499 nt
Filed under: uncultured bacterium
Lineage: Bacteria
Description: bacterial SSU rRNA
Rfam family: Bacterial small subunit ribosomal RNA
Source: RNAcentral
CAGUAGGGAAUCUUCCACAAUGGGCGCAAGCCUGAUGGAGCAACACCGCGUGAGUGAAGAAGGGUUUCGGCUCGUAAAGCUCUGUUGUUGGAGAAGAACGUGCGUGAGAGUAACUGUUCACGCAGUGACGGUAUCCAACCAGAAAGUCACGGCUAACUACGUGCCAGCAGCCGCGGUAAUACGUAGGUGGCAAGCGUUAUCCGGAUUUAUUGGGCGUAAAGCGAGCGCAGGCGGUUGCUUAGGUCUGAUGUGAAAGCCUUCGGCUUAACCGAAGAAGUGCAUCGGAAACCGGGCGACUUGAGUGCAGAAGAGGACAGUGGAACUCCAUGUGUAGCGGUGGAAUGCGUAGAUAUAUGGAAGAACACCAGUGGCGAAGGCGGCUGUCUGGUCUGCAACUGACGCUGAGGCUCGAAAGCAUGGGUAGCGAACAGGAUUAGAUACCCUGGUAGUCCAUGCCGUAAACGAUGAGUGCUAGGUGUUGGAGGGUUUCCGCCCUUCA